This 241-nucleotide long non-coding RNA is filed under the name Mytilus galloprovincialis (Mediterranean mussel). Lineage: Eukaryota; Metazoa; Mollusca; Bivalvia; Mytilida; Mytilidae. The record is from RNAcentral.
GAACAGCACCAGAUUAAAUAACCAUAUUAAUUCAAAUUACAGAAGAGCUAGUACACACAUAAAACUUGUUUGUUUCAUUGUCUCUGGUUGUCAAACGUCACUGUGUGUUUGUAGAUCGCACACAUACAAACGACACUCCACAGAAGAGAUAGUACACACAUAAAACUUGUUUGUUUCAUUGUCUUUGGUUGUCAAACGUCACUGUGUGUCUGUAGAUCGCACACAUACAAACGACACUCCA